UAGGGAAUAUUAGUAAUGGGCGCAAGCCUGAACUAGCAACGCCGCGUGUGCGAAGAAGGCCUUCGGGUUGUAAAGCACUUUUUGAGAGGAUGAGGAAGGACGGUACUCUCAGAAUAAGUCUCGGCUAACUACGUGCCAGCAGCCGCGGUAACACGUAGGAGGCAAACGUUAUCCGGAUUUACUGGGCGUAAAGCGCGUGUAGGUGGUUUGGUAAGUAGGGCGUGAAAGCUCCUGGCUCAACUGGGAGAGGUCGUUCUAAACUGCCGAGCUAGAGGAUGGUAGAGGGAGGUGGAAUUCCGGGUGUAGCGGUGGAAUGCGCAGAUAUCCGGAGGAACACCAGUGGCGAAAGCGGCCUCCUGGACCACUCCUGACACUCAGACGCGAAAGCUAGGGUAGCAAACGG
Molecule: ribosomal RNA, 403 nt
Filed under: uncultured bacterium
Lineage: Bacteria
Description: bacterial SSU rRNA
Rfam family: Bacterial small subunit ribosomal RNA
Source: RNAcentral